Molecule: ribosomal RNA, 255 nt
Filed under: uncultured bacterium
Lineage: Bacteria
Description: partial 16S ribosomal RNA
Rfam family: Bacterial small subunit ribosomal RNA
Source: RNAcentral
UACGGAGGGGGCGAGCGUUAUUCACCUUAACUGGGCGUAAAGGGUAUGUAGGUUGUUUUUUACAUUUGAAUCAAGUAAUCUAAGCAUAACUUCUGAAGUUGAUUUAAAUAUGUUUUUACUAGAGGAUAUGCGAAGUAAGUUACAUUUUUAGUGUAGGGGUGAAAUCCUUAGAUACUAAAGAGAUAUCCGUAUGGCGAAAGCUACUUGCUAGCAUAUUACUGACACUGAGGUACAAAAGCAUGGGGAUCAAACAGG